AGUGAACGCUGGCGGCAGGCCUAAUACAUGCAAGUCGAACGGCAGUACAGCAGAGCUUGCUCUGUGGGUGGCGAGUGGCGGACGGGUGAGGAAUACAUGGGAAUCUGCCCAGUCGUGGGGAUAACGUAGGGAAACUUACGCUAAUACCGCAUGCGCCCUUCGGGGAAAGCCGGGGACCUUCGGGCCUGGCGCGAUUGGAUGAGCCCAUGUCGGAUUAGCUAGUUGGCGGGGUAAUGGCCCACCAAGGCGACGAUCCGUAGCUGGUCUGAGAGGAUGAUCAGCCACACUGGAACUGAGACACGGUCCAGACUCCUACGGGAGCAGCAGUAGGGAAUAUUGGACAAUGGGCGCAAAGCCUGAUCCAGCCAUGCCGCGUGAGUGAAGAAGGCCCUCGGGUUGUAAAGCUCUUUUGUCCGGAAAGAAAAGCGCCGGGUUAAUACCCUAGUGUCCUGACGGUACCGGAAGAAUAAGCACCGGCUAACUUCGUGCCAGCAGCCGCG
This 500-nucleotide ribosomal RNA is filed under the name uncultured bacterium. RNAcentral describes it as "bacterial SSU rRNA". It matches the Rfam family "Bacterial small subunit ribosomal RNA", at positions 29 to 519 of the family's 1533-position model. The record is from RNAcentral.